AGGAGUCAGAUGGUCCAGUUUCCUCUUUGGGAUUUUACUCAGAAGCUGCUCAGUAAGAAAUACAGAAGGAGUCAUAAAUGCUGAACCUAGAAGUGCUUCAUUGCACUCUUCUUUCCGAUGCAGAGGUGCCAGCUGCCAGGCCAAGAGCUGGAGCGGCAUGGAGACGGCAGGAAAAAGAAGCAGCAGUAUGGAGGAGUGGAUAUGGAUGUGGAAACGGAUCCAUUCCCAUCUGCUUCACAGACCCCACAUCCCAUCUUCUAAACUGGAAAUUUUAUGUCUACCCAUGGACCGUUUAAUCUGGAAUAGAAAGAAAAUGAAACCCUAAUAUCAGACCCUCCUACAGGAUGCUGACCUCCAUUUUGACUGGCACAACAACAACGUAAACUGUUAUAGCGAGGACCAACAUCCAGUGUCUUCAAUCCAAAGUGCGGUGUGCUCAUCUCUGCUUCAAUUAAAGCCGGGCAAUUAGCACGGCCCUGCAGUAACGCCGCACAGGCACCAGCUGGCGCAAUAAAUUAUGGCUCUGGAAUUGAUUUCCCCAACAAGCUGCGGCGUGCAGCAGCACAGGCUGGAGGCCGGCCAGAUCCAGUGUUUCCAGUCCUGGAGAGUGAUAAAUGAUGAACACCUCUGCUCCUACCUGUUGGCUUUUAUUAAGUCCAGAAAGCUACUUCAGUGAAUAUUAUCAAGUUUGCAAAGACAAGCAUGCCGAUGGCAGGAAUGGGAGGAAGCCUCUCUUCAUCCAGCUUCCAAUGCAUAUGCAGUAGCAUUCAAAUAUUGAGCGUGAAGCCGCUGUAGCACUUAAGCAGUGGCCUCCGGGUAUUUACACGGGCUGAAAGCCUCAUGACUUCCUGACAGCCUGGCGGACUAAGGGCUCCACCAGGUGGGAUCUCCUGAUGCUGAAGCGUUCCUAACAGAGCUAUGCCAGAGCCUUAAAAUCUGCGCUCCUCCUGAGCCUCAGUUCCCACCACUCCUGUUGGCUCUGCAUGGUGUGGAAGCAGCCAAAGGCUGGUCCCAGGGUGAGCCUUCAAUUAGGAACUUGGUAAAUCUGCUCCACAACCACAGUGUUUCGGUUGGUCUUAUUCUUGAAUACUGUGGGGCAACACUAAACUUUGUGUGAGGCAGAGUGCACACAUCGCCCACAGUGCCCAGUAUGCCUCCUUGUUUACCAGUUCUAAUAUAGCAAGAGAAUCACGGAAUCAUAGAAUGGCCUGGGUUGAAAAGGACCACAAUGAUCAUGUAGUUUCAACCCCCCUGCUAUGUGCAGGGUUGCCAACCACCAGACCAGGCUGCCCAGAGCCACAUCCAGCCUGGCCUUGAAAGCCUCCAGGGAUGGGGCAUCCACAGCCUCCUUGGGCAACAAGAGAAACAUUACAUUUUGGUUUUGAUCUUAGGCCUCUUUGAAAAUAGUGCAAGAGAGGCAUUUGGGAAAGGCCAAUAUUUACAUCUGGCAACCAAAACACUAUGCACGACCAAACCAAACGGCAAACCCUCCUGUCAGCCGUUCUAUGGCUCAGAGUCACACUUCAUUAAAUCAUCUUUAUUUCAAUAUUUUAUCAAAGACAUAUAUGGUUUCCCAAUUAUGUGUAUAUUUUUGUAAAAUUAUCGUUUUCAAUUUAGUUGAUUACACGUUGCAGAAGGGAAGCUUUUCUCCUCAAACACCAUAUGUGCUUAUCAAAGCCAAAAACCUAAGGGCAACAGUAAACAGGAGCGGCACUGUUCUUGAAGAACUGUUAAAUCAGUUCUGAGGCUUUACAUUUCUGUUUGCAAUAAGAAAACUUUUAGUGAACUGCGAAUGAAUUAAUCAUAACCAUGUUUGGCUUUAUUCUUCAACUCAGUUUUAGUUUGAAAAAUCAUUGAUUUGCAUUUAUAAAGGAACAAAAAAUGUUUUCAAAGAGACUAUUUAAAGAAGACCGAACUUGUCUCCCACACUUAGUAUGUGAAAGCUCUCGCUGUUGAUGUUGGUAUUUCUGUAUGAAUAGCAUUAAUCAUCCAUAAACACAAAUCUGCACUCACACAGGUUUGAAUGUGCUGUGCAAUUAUGGCACACAGAGCAUUUCUAAAGCUUUUACCACUGCUACUGCCCUGAUGAUUUUAAGAUAACGAGGAUUUAAUUACACAAAAAAUAAUUUUCAGUCAUAUGUAGCUGUGCAUUUUCAUUGCAAUCCGUGAGAUUAAUCUUUUAUCUUACAGGAUGCUGCUGAAAAAUUCUAUUAAUAAAUGAAGACAGAAUUGUCUUGUC
Molecule: long non-coding RNA, 2239 nt
Organism: Gallus gallus (chicken)
Lineage: Eukaryota; Metazoa; Chordata; Aves; Galliformes; Phasianidae
Source: Ensembl